Molecule: small nuclear RNA, 117 nt
Organism: Aotus nancymaae (Ma's night monkey)
Lineage: Eukaryota; Metazoa; Chordata; Mammalia; Primates; Aotidae
Gene: U5
Rfam family: U5 spliceosomal RNA
About the family: U5 RNA is a component of both types of known spliceosome. The precise function of this molecule is unknown, though it is known that the 5' loop is required for splice site selection and p220 binding, and that both the 3' stem-loop and the Sm site are important for Sm protein binding and cap methylation.
Source: Ensembl
AUGCUCUGGUUUCUCUUCAUAGCGAAUAAAUCUUUCGCCUUUUACCAAAAAUUUCCGUGGAGAGGAACAAUUAUAAGUUUAAAACGGAAUUUUUUGUUGCCCUGCUUAGGCAGGGCU